CCAUUGAUAUGCUUCUGACUCACAAUUAUUUUCAAUUAAAGGCAAGGAAAAGAAGGUAAAUUCUCAGUGAAUGUGGACUUUGGGAGUUAGAAUUGGGGAAAGAUGUCCCUUAAAAAAAAAGACCUUAAUAUAUUUGAAGAAUAAAAAGAUGAUUUGAGUGUGGAACAGGUGAGAAGAGUCAUCAACAAGGACUGGUUCUCUGUCAUCUCUACCUAGAGGGGACUGUAUGGCCGGUCUUCCAGAGCUGGACAGUGGAGAGUAAGGAAGGUAUCUGGAGAGUUGCAGGAAAUAAAAAGCUGGACUCUUGGGAGAACAUAUUGGUGGUUGGGAUGAACAAGGAAACAAGGUGGAUGUGAACAACCUGCAGUCAGAUGCCUGGACUCACAUCAGGACUCUAAUGACUACUUCCCAAGGACCAGCCCUUUGAGGAGCUAUUGCAGAGUAUCAUUCACCUGGGCUGGAUGGUAUAACCAUAUAUUUAUAUACUCUAUCCCAAACCCAGUGAACUGAACUUUGUGACUGGAAUACAGAAACCUUCAUGUUUUCAACUUCUAGAGUGAUUUCUGAAGCAUCCAGGAUUGAGACCUUUAAAUCAUACUUUCAAAAAUCUGUCAAGUAGUUAUGGGAACGAAGGACUUGUGAUUUUGUAGUGAAUGUUACUCCCUGCCACAUACUGCAGGCUUGUUCUAUCUACCUUGGUGAUUAGUGUUUUGGGAUUAGGGAGGCUGUAUGUCCAGCCUUCCCUACUUAAACAGCAACCCCCAUCCUGAGAGGUGCUGUGUGUUCUCACCUGCUCCAGGGCACUGCACCAACAGGUCUAUGCUGUAACUGCUCCAGCCUCAGGGUGAGGAAGUAUAGGGAAAUGGAAGUCAGAGGAGAGACCCUUUGCAUAGGCAUGAACAGGAGUGUCCAGGAACAAAAGCCACAGUUCUCAGAACUGUGAAAGAGAACAGAAGGUGGAUCUUGAUCUCUGCUGAGCUGACUCACAGGUCUCAGCGGAAGAUCCUGGUUGCUUCUGUCAACGUUGAAAAGUGUUGGCAUCAGCAUUCAGGCAGUCAGUGGAUACUAAUAAUUAAUGGCUUAUCUCUGUGUGCAGGAAAAGGUCUUUCAGUCGUCAUUCUUGGUCAUUUCCCUCUUGUCAUUUAGCUCUAAUAUGAAAUAGAACCCCACUGACUUUCCUUCCAUAUACCCAGUCACAAAUUGAGAUCACUCCACUUUUUGCAUGGAAUUUUAAUUUGGACUUUUAUAAAUAUUAAGGUGUGUUUGUGUGAGUGUGCUUUCUUUUAUGCUUCUUCAGGCCAGAACCCAGUCUGUGUCUUCCCUGACUACUCUCUAUUUUAGUUUUUGAGAUAAUUUCUCUCAUUCAUUCAUCUAUGUUGGUUGGUGAGUAAACUCCAAGUAUGCUUUUGUCUCUGCUACCCAUAGCUGGGAGGACUUUCAUGAAACAUCAUAAGCAGCUUUUUAGGUGGGUGGUGAGGAUCCAACCUCAAGUGCUCGUACUUGCAGGGAAAACAUGUUACACAUUUGCUUGAAAUGCAGUAUCUACUCUUGACAGUGGAGUAAGCACCCUAUGCAUGUUAAUUAUGUCAUUUGACCUAUCCAGGUCAUUCCAUUUUAAUUAGUUUUCAAUUAAUUGAAUAUUUUAUGCUAUGUAUCUUGACCAUAUUCACCACCCCCAACUUCUUUCACAACUGUAGUGGUUUGAAUGAGAAUGGUCCCUAUAGGCUCAUAUAUUUGAAUGUUUGGUCAUUAGGGAGUGGCACUAUUUGGAAGGAUUAGGAGGUGUGACCUUGUUGGAGAAGGUGUGUCACUAGGGGUGGACUCUGAUGUUUCAGAAGCCCAAGCCAGACCCAGUGGUUCUCUUCCCCUGCUUCCUACUGAUCUGAAUGAAGAACUCUGAGCUACUUUCCCAUCACUGUCUGCCUGCCUGUCACCAUGCUCCCAUUGUGAUGGUAAUGGAAUAAAUCUCUGAAACUGUAAGCAAGCCCCAAUUAAACAUUGUUUCUUUUAA
Long non-coding RNA from Psammomys obesus (fat sand rat), 2011 nucleotides. RefSeq lists it as uncharacterized. The transcript has 2 exons. Lineage: Eukaryota; Metazoa; Chordata; Mammalia; Rodentia; Muridae. The record is from RefSeq and is a predicted model, not a curated record.